GUUGCCCSCUCGUACGCGACCCCAGGUCAGGCGGGGCUACCCGCUGAGUUUAAGCAUAUCAAUAAGCGRAGGAAAAGAA
Molecule: ribosomal RNA, 79 nt
Filed under: Acacia oraria
Lineage: Eukaryota; Viridiplantae; Streptophyta; Magnoliopsida; Fabales; Fabaceae
Description: partial 26S ribosomal RNA
Rfam family: Eukaryotic large subunit ribosomal RNA (bases 17-79)
Source: RNAcentral